Unclassified non-coding RNA from Pongo abelii (Sumatran orangutan), 148 nucleotides. It matches the Rfam family "Metazoan signal recognition particle RNA". From Rfam's summary of the family: The signal recognition particle (SRP) is a universally conserved ribonucleoprotein. It is involved in the co-translational targeting of proteins to membranes. Lineage: Eukaryota; Metazoa; Chordata; Mammalia; Primates; Hominidae. The record is from Ensembl.
GCCAGACAUGGUGGCGCAUGCCUGUAAUCCCAGCUACUUGGGAGGCUGAGGCAGGAGAAUCGCUUGAACCCAGGAGGUGGAGGUUGCAGUGAGCCAAGACGGUGCCACUGCAUUCCAGCCUGGGCUACAGAGUGAGACUCUGUCUCAA